Molecule: transfer RNA, 73 nt
Filed under: Perkinsus olseni
Lineage: Eukaryota; Perkinsozoa; Perkinsida; Perkinsidae
Description: tRNA-Glu
Rfam family: tRNA
About the family: Transfer RNA (tRNA) molecules are approximately 80 nucleotides in length. Their secondary structure includes four short double-helical elements and three loops (D, anti-codon, and T loops).
Source: RNAcentral
UCCGAUAUAGUCUAGCUGGUUAGGAUACCUGGCUUUCAUCCAGACGACCCGGGUUCGAGUUCCGGUAUCGGAA